Pelobates cultripes (western spadefoot toad) is the source of this 448-nucleotide non-coding RNA. The record is from the annotation of a GenBank genome assembly. NCBI's taxonomy places the organism in Eukaryota, Metazoa, Chordata, Amphibia, Anura, Pelobatidae.
UUCUGUGAACCUUCAAACAAACAUAAUGCAUCGGUUUCAUUAGCUGUGGACACAUUUCAUAUGGGUAACUGGUACUUAUAAGGGUUACUAUUUGUCCAAUUCAUCCAAAUGCGUUCAGUGAAUGAAUGAUUGCAUAUUACAUGCUGAUAGAAAGGUGGUGGAGAAAGGUUCUUGAGGGGGCGUGUGUGACGAAUGCUAGAUGAGGGGCUAAGGCCUAAUUGGGCUGGGGGUAUUGAAGAAUUGUUCAUCAUGUCAGAGUCUUUUUCCAGAACUUGCCAUUGACUUGUACUCAUAAUGGCAUUCAAGGAACAAUAUCAGAGGGAGUAUAACAACUCCAGAAAGCAUAGCGCACAACAUAAUCUUGGUCUCAGGUACGUAUGAUCCUCUCAAUCUACGAUAUGGUGUAAAAGCCAUGAUGCUUCGCUGAGGAGAAAUUCUUCUGUUUCCG